GUAGGUGAACCUGCGGAAGGAUCAUUGUCGAAACCUUAUGGUUACUUUGAUCUUGAGAACCAACAUGCUACUCUUUAUGACUUUGUCAUAAAGGUUGGGAGUAUCACACCUUUUUAAUCCGUUUUGAGGUGUCUAUGUGCAACAUGAGCCGUUUUGGAUGGCGUCUGUGAUUGUUGUACGAAGUUCGCGUUUACGCUGAGCUCUAGACUUAAUGAGCAUUGCAUGAAUGCCACCUCUGUGUUUAUGCUGUUUUUGGUGGUUACGCAUUAGGCUUCCAGCCUUCUGCAACACCUGCUUGUCAGGAAAUCUUAAUGAUCUGCUUUUAAAUAGCGGACGCCAAUACAGACUAACGUUUUGCAUUUGAUGUUUGCAGAACCGUGACUUAUUGGUCACAAAAUAGACUAGCUUCAGCGAUGGAUCGGUCGAUUCGCGUAUCGAUGAAAAACGCAGCUAGCUGCGUUAUUUACCACGAAUUGCAGACGCUUAGAGUGGUGAAAUUUUGAACGCAUAGCGCCGUUGGGUUUUCCCUUCGGCACGUCUGGUUCAGGGUUGUUUAUAUAAUUACUACAGUGUGGCUUGUAACACUGUUUGUCGAACGACGCUUGCACAUGUGCGUGUAUGUGUGUGAUCCUCGUUCUAGAUGAGAAAUAUAUUGCAACAGGUAUUUUGGAGCAAUCCAAGGUACACGGAUGUCGUGUGACGUAUGCACGCAUGUAUAUGCGUGUAGGUUGUCACUGUCAAAGUGUUCAGCGAAUAAGAAUACUUGACGGGGCUUGUUAUAUUGACAACCGUAGUCGCAUGUCAUUUGCAAUGCAACCUGAGCUCAGUCGUGAUUACCCGCUGAACUUAAGCAUAUCACUUAGCGGAGGAAAAGAAACUAA
This 881-nucleotide ribosomal RNA is filed under the name Oesophagostomum asperum. Its description in RNAcentral is "eukaryotic LSU rRNA". The stretch from base 403 to 552 matches the Rfam family "5.8S ribosomal RNA". The record is from RNAcentral. Lineage: Eukaryota; Metazoa; Nematoda; Chromadorea; Rhabditida; Strongylidae.